UACAGAGGGUGCAAGCGUUGUUCGGAAUUAUUGGGCGUAAAGGGCGCGUAGGCGGUGCCACAAGUCACCUGUGAAAUCUCCGGGCUUAACUCGGAGCCUGCAGGCGAAACUGUGGUGCUGGAGUGUGGGAGAGGUGCGUGGAAUUCCCGGUGUAGCGGUGAAAUGCGUAGAUAUCAGGAGGAACACCUGUGGUGUAGACGGCUUUCUGGACCGUAGCUGACGCUGAGACACGAAAGCGUGGGUAGCAAACAGG
This 253-nucleotide ribosomal RNA is filed under the name uncultured bacterium. RNAcentral's name for it is "partial 16S ribosomal RNA". It matches the Rfam family "Bacterial small subunit ribosomal RNA", at positions 524 to 776 of the family's 1533-position model. The record is from RNAcentral.